Molecule: long non-coding RNA, 151 nt
Organism: Sapajus apella (tufted capuchin)
Lineage: Eukaryota; Metazoa; Chordata; Mammalia; Primates; Cebidae
Exons: 2
Source: RefSeq, a predicted model, not a curated record
UUCUCCUGCCUCAGCCUCCCAAGUAGCUGGGAUUACAGACCUGGUGAACAGGAAGUAUUCAUUGGGUUCUUAUGAAGAAUGAGAUAACGUAUACAAAGUGCUCAGCACUAUCACAUAUGAAGCACUCAAUAAUUGGCAGCUAUGAGUUUCA